AGUGAACGCUGGCGGUAGGCCUAACACAUGCAAGUCGAACGGCAGCACAGUAAGAGCUUGCUCUUACGGGUGGCGAGUGGCGGACGGGUGAGGAAUACAUCGGAAUCUACUUUUUCGUGGGGGAUAACGUAGGGAAACUUACGCUAAUACCGCAUACGACCUACGGGUGAAAGCAGGGGAUCUUCGGACCUUGCGCGAUUGAAUGAGCCGAUGCCGGAUUAGCUAGUUGGCGGGGUAAAGGCCCACCAAGGCGACGAUCCGUAGCUGGUCUGAGAGGAUGAUCAGCCACACUGGAACUGAGACACGGUCCAGACUCCUACGGGAGGCAGCAGUGGGGAAUAUUGGACAAAGGGCGCAAGCCUGAUCCAGCCAUACCGCGUGGGUGAAGAAGGCCUUCGGGUUGUAAAGCCCUUUUGUUGGGAAAGAAAAGCAGCAGGCUAAUACCCCGCUGUUCUGACGGUACCCAAAGAAUAAGCACCGGCUAACUUCGUG
This 492-nucleotide ribosomal RNA is filed under the name uncultured bacterium. RNAcentral describes it as "partial 16S ribosomal RNA". It matches the Rfam family "Bacterial small subunit ribosomal RNA", at positions 29 to 507 of the family's 1533-position model. The record is from RNAcentral.